CGUAUAUUAAAGUUGUUGCAGUUAAAAAGCUCGUAGUUGGAUUUGUGGUGACAGUUGUGGUCCAUUUUUGGUACUAACGAUUGUUGCCAUCCUUGGGUGGAACCUGUGUGGCAUUAACUUGUCGUGCAGGGGAUGCCCAUCGUUUACUGUGAAAAAAUCAGCGCGUUCAAAGCAGGCUUAUGCCGUGUGAAUGUCUUAGCAUGGAAUAAUAAGAUAGGACCUUGGUGCUAUUUUGUUGGUUUGCGUACCGAGGUAAUGAUUAAUAGGGACAGUUGGGGG
RNAcentral lists this ribosomal RNA (279 nucleotides) under uncultured diatom. RNAcentral's name for it is "partial 18S ribosomal RNA". It matches the Rfam family "Eukaryotic small subunit ribosomal RNA", at positions 598 to 888 of the family's 1831-position model. Lineage: Eukaryota; Bacillariophyta. The record is from RNAcentral.